GCAAGUCAGGGAGAAAGUCUCUUCGGGGAUGAUUAAACCGGCACACGGGUGAGUAACACGUGAGUGACCUGCCUUUUAGACUGGAACAACUUACCGCAAGGUGAGCUAAUGCCGGAUGAGUUAUAUAAGUGCAUGUUUAUAUAGGAAAAGUUGGGGAGACCUGACGCUGAAAGAUGGACUCGCGUCCCAUUAGCUAGUUGGUAGGGUAAUGGCCUACCAAGGCGACGAUGGGUAGCCGGCCUGAGAGGGUGGGC
This 254-nucleotide ribosomal RNA is filed under the name uncultured bacterium. RNAcentral's name for it is "partial 16S ribosomal RNA". It matches the Rfam family "Bacterial small subunit ribosomal RNA", at positions 57 to 305 of the family's 1533-position model. The record is from RNAcentral.